RNAcentral lists this transfer RNA (72 nucleotides) under Camelus bactrianus (Bactrian camel). It matches the Rfam family "tRNA". From Rfam's summary of the family: Transfer RNA (tRNA) molecules are approximately 80 nucleotides in length. Their secondary structure includes four short double-helical elements and three loops (D, anti-codon, and T loops). The record is from Rfam by way of RNAcentral. Lineage: Eukaryota; Metazoa; Chordata; Mammalia; Artiodactyla; Camelidae. RNAcentral also lists the same sequence under 1 other name.
GAGGGCGAAUCUCAGUGGUAGAGCUCAUGCCUAACAUGCACGGGGUCCUAGGUUCAAUCCCUAGUACCUUCA